GGCCUGUUGGCGCAUCGGUAGCGCGUCUCUGAGCAACUACCUCUUCUUCCCGUGUACAUAGAGCUCUUGGGCGAUUUUGGAUAGGGAAGUAAGUAGCUCGAUGGAGAAGGUAGCGGGUUCGACUCCUGCACAAGCCA
Hyaloscypha variabilis F is the source of this 137-nucleotide non-coding RNA. The record is from the annotation of a GenBank genome assembly. Lineage: Eukaryota; Fungi; Ascomycota; Leotiomycetes; Helotiales; Hyaloscyphaceae.